This is a long non-coding RNA of Pseudophryne corroboree (corroboree frog), 578 nucleotides long. RefSeq lists it as uncharacterized. The transcript is spliced from 4 exons. NCBI's taxonomy places the organism in Eukaryota, Metazoa, Chordata, Amphibia, Anura, Myobatrachidae. The record is from RefSeq and is a predicted model, not a curated record.
AACACCUGUAGAGGUAAUUCUCAGAGGCAGAGCUGCUUGUGGACAGAGUAGAGGAGGCAGGAGGCAGAAAAGUUCUCUGUUGUUUGAUGUUCUCCAAAUUGUUGUUGCCUGGGUUGGUGUCAAUCUUAUUGUUUUGUGAAGAUUUUAAUACCAUUGGCAAUCUAUCUAUGGACCAAUAACAGCAUACUGUUAGAAGCUGCAGAAGGAUCAAAUUUAUUCUGGACAGUGCCAUCUAGAGACCUCUACAUGUCAAACAGGAUUUCUUCAUCUACAGACACAGACCUUGGCGUGUUUACUGAAUGGCCUUGUCUACAGCUACACACCAUUGCAUGUUUAGUCAAUUACCUUGCAUGCAGCCACAGAACCCUGCAUGUGGAGCAGGAUUCCUUUUCUCAAGCCUACCGCUUUCUCUGCCUGCUAAAAAAAAAUCGCCUUGCUGUCAACCUGCCUCUGAUCACUUGCUGCAUGUCAAAUGGAUGCCCUUGCCUUCUCCUGCCUAUGAAGUUGGCAACAUACCGACAAUGCUUUGCCGGUAGAGAGGGAACCCUCCACUAUGUGUACAGUAGACCUCAGGUAGG